RNAcentral lists this ribosomal RNA (518 nucleotides) under uncultured bacterium. RNAcentral describes it as "bacterial SSU rRNA". It matches the Rfam family "Bacterial small subunit ribosomal RNA", at positions 31 to 518 of the family's 1533-position model. The record is from RNAcentral.
GAACGCUGGCGGCGUGCCUAAUACAUGCAAGUCGAACGCUUUAUCUCACCGGGUGCUUGCACCCACCGAGAUAAAGGAGUGGCGGACGGGUGAGUAACACGUGGGUAACCUGCCCAUAAGUGGGGGAUAACAUUCGGAAACGGAUGCUAAUACCGCAUAUCUUUAUUGGCCUCAUGGCCAAGUGAUGAAAGGCGGCUUCGGCUGUCGCUUAUGGAUGGACCCGCGGCGCAUUAGUUAGUUGGUGAGGUAACGGCUCACCAAGACGAUGAUGCGUAGCCGACCUGAGAGGGUGAUCGGCCACACUGGGACUGAGACACGGCCCAGACUCCUACGGGAGGCAGCAGUAGGGAAUCUUCCGCAAUGGACGAAAGUCUGACGGAGCAACGCCGCGUGAAGUGAAGAAGGUUUUCGGAUCGUAAAACUCUGUUGUUAGAGAAGAACAAGGAUGACGAGUAACCUGCUCGUCCCUUGACGGUAUCUAACCAGAAAGCCAUGGCUAACUACGUGCCAGCCGCCGC